RNAcentral lists this unclassified non-coding RNA (87 nucleotides) under Pseudomonas azotoformans. The record is from RNAcentral. Lineage: Bacteria; Pseudomonadati; Pseudomonadota; Gammaproteobacteria; Pseudomonadales; Pseudomonadaceae.
GUGGGAGGGGGCUUGCCCCCGAUGGCAGACUGUCAGUCAAUGAAGAUGUGAUUGACGCACCGCUAUCGGGGGCAAGCCCCCUCCCAC